Molecule: transfer RNA, 84 nt
Filed under: Gluconobacter kondonii
Lineage: Bacteria; Pseudomonadati; Pseudomonadota; Alphaproteobacteria; Acetobacterales; Acetobacteraceae
Also listed under: 1 other name
Description: tRNA-Leu
Source: RNAcentral
GUUUCUGUUUUACAAUGGUUUUAUGGCUGCAUAGAUCCCUUGGUAAGGGAGAGGUCGACAGUUCAAUCCUGUCCAGCAGCACCA